This is a non-coding RNA of Mus caroli (Ryukyu mouse), 1223 nucleotides long. NCBI's taxonomy places the organism in Eukaryota, Metazoa, Chordata, Mammalia, Rodentia, Muridae. The record is from RefSeq and is a predicted model, not a curated record.
GCUCUGUGGUCCAGGUCUGUGUACACAGGAUGUCUGUCUGCAGCCUGGUCCAGCGGCUGUCUAUGUCUCUGACCCAGUUGCGUCUUCUGCUCCUUGUUUUGCCUUCUCUUUGCUUGUAAUGACGCGCUCCCACACACACUGUGAAGUGAAGGACUCUUUAGACCAGAUUGUCUGUCUUUCUGCUCAGCAGCUCCAGCUGCCGGAAGUACCCAGGAGAGGUCCUGAGAUGCCACUGAAGUCACUGUUCCUAACAUAGCAGCAAAGGAGAACAAACUUUACCCGCCACCUCUCUCUGCUGGCGUGUGGGACCCAGAUAUCAGAAGCACAGAGUCUAACUAAAGCAGCCUACAGGUAGUCCCACCUGCAGCUGCUGCCUCUUUGACACUCAAAGGCUCCUUUAUUUCUUCCGUCGCUGUGCUGCGCAGAGUUUUCUGUUGGAUUGACACAAGCUAGAGACGUCAGGGAAGAGGGAACAUCAACGGAGAAAAUGCCCCCAGCAGAAUGACCUGCAGGCAAGCCUUCGAGACCUUUUCUUAAUUGAGGACUGUGGUGUGGCUGUGCUCUGCUCACUGUGGUCAGUGCCAUCUCUGGGCUUGGUGGUGUAAGAAAGCAGACUAAGCAAGCUGAGAGCAGCAGGCCCGUAAGCAGCCUUCCUUCAUGACCUUUGCUUCAAUUCCUGGCACCAGGUUCCUGCCCUGCCUGAGUUCCUGCCUUGGCUUCCCUUGAUGACAGAUUGUAGCGUGUAAGAUGAAACAAUCCCUGUUCUCUACAAGCUGCUUUUGGUUGCGGUGUUCAUCGCAGUGAUAGAAAGCCGUAAGACAUUUACCUGGUUAGUGACUUUUAGUCCUAGUUAACUCUUUCUUGUUUACCUCCUCUUUGUGUGCAGUUCGUGUAAUAGGAUCCUUACACCUUCUCGGUAGGACUGUGAGGAGAGGUAGGGGAAGUGGCCCAGCUCCAGUGAGAACUCAAUAAAUGUUAACUGUGUGACCCAGAGAGCACAGAUAAGGGGCCAGUAAAACUAGAAGUGACACAGGUGGACUUUCAGAUAGGAGUGCCGCAACCUAUGAACCUUAGAGACUGUGACAGGCGUAUGUGGGCUUUCCAACGACAGGCACAGAUCAAGUGUCAGUAUCAGAGAUCCCAGUAUUAAAUCACAGAUACCAUUGGUUGUCACACCCAUUAGUUUUGUGUGUUACUACAGAAAUAAAAAAUCACCACGAAUU